CGUGUACUCCCUCUGUUCGAAAAUACUUGUCAUUGAAAUGGAUGUAUCUAGAUGUAUUUUAGUUCUAGACACAUCCAUUUUGAUGAUAAGUAAUUCCGGACGGAGGGAGUACUUG
Molecule: non-coding RNA, 115 nt
Organism: Triticum aestivum (bread wheat)
Lineage: Eukaryota; Viridiplantae; Streptophyta; Magnoliopsida; Poales; Poaceae
Source: Rfam